CGGAAGGCUGCCGUGAGAUAAUUAGAAUACAACAUUGAUACCAACUUAUACAUAAGACAUACGAGCCUAUAAGACCAAAAUAACCACUCAUAUACUGGACAUAGGCCAACAAGGCCUUACAAUCUUUUACGUAUAUGACAUCUGUCUACAAGACUAUAAGAAUACAUAAUUUUCAUAAAGGUCGAGAUAUAGUCCCGCCAUACCAAACAAUACACGUCUAAAUUAUACUAACCCAAUCAACAAGCAACUCCGAAGCAAAUAGAGUGCACCAACAUCUUCUGCUGAGCUGAUAGCCUACUUGGAGGGCUCUCGACCUAUCUAUCGGGACCUGCAGUCAUGAAACGCAGCGUCCCCAGGCAAAAGGGACGUCAGUACGAAUAAUGUACCGAGUAUGUAAGGCACAUAAAUAAGUACAUAACAUACAUGAAAAAAAUAUAAAAUAAAUGACUCAACCUGUAAGCCUGGAUAACUCUGUAAUUCAUGAAAUAAUUAUAGUGUCAUGCACAUGCAUAUGAAUUUCAUGUCGUGCAUAGGUACAUGUUUCAUAACAUCAUCAGGCCUCUGAGGGCAUCCCAUCAUAUCAUCUCGGCAACUAUAGGCAAAAUCAUCAACGUAUACCAGCUGAUCAGGUGGUGGUGCAUAUAUAACGCCGUAAACUUUUCUUAUAUCCCAUAUACAUAUAUAUACAUACAUAUAUACACGUAUAUAACGCCAUAUGGUCAUGGGUAAAUGUACAUGUAAAUGAAUGCAAUGCAUGAGAAGUACGUUAAUAAAAAUUUUCGGAACGUCAUAAGACCGUUAUACCUCUGAUUAAUAUCAUGAAAUAAACUUUAUCAACUUACGUAUUUUCUGAGACCCAUGAACAGAUGAUAGAAUAAUAUGACAUAUGGGAAAUCAAGAACAUAGGAACCUCUAGUAUUUCUAUGAAUAGAGUCACUUAUGGAAGUUGUGUAUUUACUCGUUUCGUUUGUAUCAUAUGGAUCAUGCCAAAAGAAAGAAGGGAUAGCUUUAACAUACCUGGAGUAGGAAAAAAUCCGCAUGAUAUUCUUGGGAAAGGUUGCACUGUACUCCUUUAGAAUCGCAAAAUCUCACAUUGCUACGGUGCUAAGAAAUCUCGUUGAAUCUUCACUUGCAUUCUUGAACGUAUAGUUUUGCUUCUGGUUUAUAUAUGGCAGUCUACAGUACACUUGAUCUAAUGUGUAUUAGCCAUGGAAGAAUACAUAAUUCCUUCAACCUUGAUAAAGAAAACAAGUGACAAAAAGUUUUCAAAUUGGCAAAGUAGGGAAAUAACGUGACAACAUGGUCACAUUAAUAUCGUUAGGGACUUGGUUUUUGGUUGCAAGCUCUUCUAAAUUUGAUUUGGCUGAAUUCUUAACGUUGGUGGAGUCCUUCAGAUGCAUAAAUUCAUGCAUACAAUCUUCCAUUAUUGGAAAAUGCAUUUAUUUACAAUAGUUGGUCCAACAAAUCCAUGUUUGAUUUAUUGUGUGCCACCUCCUCCUUUAGGCUUGAUUAGUUGGCAAUUUGUUGUCACACAUACAUAUCUCCACAUGUAUAUUUGUUCCCUCAUAAUUAUCCAAU
Molecule: long non-coding RNA, 1578 nt
Filed under: Nicotiana tabacum (common tobacco)
Lineage: Eukaryota; Viridiplantae; Streptophyta; Magnoliopsida; Solanales; Solanaceae
Description: long non-coding RNA (NTAB_LNC014653)
Source: RNAcentral